CUCAAUUUUGCUGUGAACCUAAAACUGCUCCCCCAAACAAGUUAAUUCCUUUAAAAAAAGAAUGAAAAAGGAACUGAGAAUUCUUCUCUCCAACAAAAGGUAAAAUGACAAGGAGUAUCAGGCUGAACUCCCUUCCGGAAAUGAAAGAAAUCAC
Bison bison bison is the source of this 154-nucleotide unclassified non-coding RNA. Lineage: Eukaryota; Metazoa; Chordata; Mammalia; Artiodactyla; Bovidae. The record is from Ensembl.